This 443-nucleotide long non-coding RNA is filed under the name Dromaius novaehollandiae (emu). Its description in RNAcentral is "lncRNA (ENSDNVG00000012412.1)". The record is from RNAcentral. Lineage: Eukaryota; Metazoa; Chordata; Aves; Casuariiformes; Dromaiidae.
CAUCAGAAACAAUUCCUUCCCCAGAGCAUUACUGAUCUAAGUGAAGACUAAGGACAGCCAAGAGUGACCUUUCUAUGAUUGAGUCUUUGAGGGCUCUGAAAAUGUAACCUGUGUUUGGGCCUGAAGGUCUUUGUUUUACUUCAAAUGGACUGUUGGAGAAGGAGGGCAGAAUUCGAUCUUCAUAGUUGUGAAGGGCUGACAGCACUAAAAGUAGAGUGGAGAGAAAAAGUACCAGGGCUACUUUGAUUUUUUGGAUCUGGAGCCAAAACAAAAUUCUUCCGUUCUCACCUCAUCCUGACCUGCAGAGUUCAUCCUUCCUGGAUUUCACAGGAGCUAGUGUUAUCUCUGCUUUUCUGGCCAAGGUUACAUUAGGUGGCUUCUGUUGUCAUAGUGGAGGAGAUAGAUCCAUGUAUGGUCAAACAAGGCUGACUUUCAAGGGUUAA